Prosopis cineraria is the source of this 351-nucleotide long non-coding RNA. RefSeq lists it as uncharacterized. The record is from RefSeq and is a predicted model, not a curated record. NCBI's taxonomy places the organism in Eukaryota, Viridiplantae, Streptophyta, Magnoliopsida, Fabales, Fabaceae. The transcript has 3 exons.
AUUACAACUUUUGGCCCAAAGGUUUGAAUAAUUAAAUUCAAACCUAUAGUUUUUUUUAAUAUAAUUUUGGGACUCACAAUCCCAUUUUUAUAUUAUUUUUCUCUCUUCCUCUCACGUUGCUCGGCGUUUUCUCACAAGGGGGGAUUAUUUUCUUUUUUCUUCAGAUUAUAUUGACAAAGAUAGUGGUGAAAAAGGAGUUGUGAAGGGGAACUUGUUAUUCAAGACACAAGGAGUGAGUCCGGCCGAGAAAGCACCAGAGGUGUAAUUAUGGUGUAUGAGACAUCAUCUUUUACGUUGCCUCUUAUUUUAGAUUAUACAAUGUAUCUUGUGCCAACUUAGGACAUAUCUUCU